This 497-nucleotide ribosomal RNA is filed under the name uncultured bacterium. Its description in RNAcentral is "partial 16S ribosomal RNA". It matches the Rfam family "Bacterial small subunit ribosomal RNA", at positions 28 to 507 of the family's 1533-position model. The record is from RNAcentral.
GAUGAACGCUGGCGGCGUGCCUAAUACAUGCAAGUCGAGCGAACAGACGAGGAGCUUGCUCCUCUGACGUUAGCGGCGGACGGGUGAGUAACACGUGGAUAACCUACCUAUAAGACUGGGAUAACUUCGGGAAACCGGAGCUAAUACCGGAUAAUAUAUUGAACCGCAUGGUUCAAUAGUGAAAGACGGUUUUGCUGUCACUUAUAGAUGGAUCCGCGCCGCAUUAGCUAGUUGGUAAGGUAACGGCUUACCAAGGCGACGAUGCGUAGCCGACCUGAGAGGGUGAUCGGCCACACUGGAACUGAGACACGGUCCAGACUCCUACGGGAGGCAGCAGAAGGGAAUCUUCCGCAAUGGGCGAAAGCCUGACGGAGCAACGCCGCGUGAGUGAUGAAGGUCUUCGGAUCGUAAAACUCUGUUAUUGGGGAAGAACAAAUGUGUAAGUAACUAUGCACGUCUUGACGGUACCUAAUCAGAAAGCCACGGCUAACUACGUG